GACGAACGCUGGGGGCGUGCCUAGUACAUGCAAGUAGAACGCUGAGGUUUGGUGUUUACACUAGACUGAUGAGUUGCGAACGGGUGAGCAACGCGUAGGUAACCUGCCUCAUAGCGGGGGAUAACUAUUGGAAACGAUAGCUAAUACCGCAUAAGAGUAAUUAACACAUGUUAGUUAUUUAAAAGGAGCAAUUGCUUCACUGUGAGAUGCACCUGCGUUGUAUUAGCUAGUUGGUGAGGUAAAGGCUCACCAAGGCGACGAUACAUAGCCGACCUGAGAGGGUGAUCGGCCACACUGGGACUGAGACACGGCCCAGACUCCUACGGGAGGCAGCAGUAGGGAAUCUUCGGCAAUGGACGGAAGUCUGACCGAGCAACGCCGCGUGAGUGAAGAAGGUUUUCGGAUCGUAAAGCUCUGUUGUUAGAGAAGAACGUUGGUAGGAGUGGAAAAUCUACCAAGUGACGGUAACUAACCAGAAAGGGACGGCUAACUACGUGCCAGCAGCCGCGGUAAUACGUAGGUCCCGAGCGUUGUCCGGAUUUAUUGGGCGUAAAGCGAGCGCAGGCGGUUCUUUAAGUCUGAAGUUAAAGGCAGUGGCUUAACCAUUGUACGCUUUGGAAACUGGAGGACUUGAGUGCAGAAGGGGAGAGUGGAAUUCCAUGUGUAGCGGUGAAAUGCGUAGAUAUAUGGAGGAACACCGGUGGCGAAAGCGGCUCUCUGGUCUGUAACUGACGCUGAGGCUCGAAAGCGUGGGGAGCAAACAGG
RNAcentral lists this ribosomal RNA (765 nucleotides) under uncultured Streptococcus sp. Its description in RNAcentral is "bacterial SSU rRNA". It matches the Rfam family "Bacterial small subunit ribosomal RNA", at positions 28 to 776 of the family's 1533-position model. Lineage: Bacteria; Bacillati; Bacillota; Bacilli; Lactobacillales; Streptococcaceae. The record is from RNAcentral.